AAUGUGUUUAUUUUACAGACUCCAAAAAAUAAAACCAACAGCUUUAUCAUGCACCUCUUCAAUUGUGACUGCCCAAACUUCUAUAUUUCAGCCAACUUCAAACUUGAGAAAACACCUUGCGGGCUGGGACAGGAGUUAAUUGUUCCCAUGAUCGUGGCAGAAUUGAUCAGCGCUAAAGGUUCAUUCCCUGUAACAUUCCACCAGAGACGGGAAGGCAAACCUACUCUGUUUUUGAGUCAUCUGACAGCUAUCGCCCAAAAUGCUGGGCCAAAUGGCGACAUGCUCGGCUGCUUUCUCGCUGGUCGUCUGCCGACCAGAAUUUGAGUAAAUGGGAUCCGGAAUCGUCAGAUGAAUGAACUCCCUCUGGAUCGCAAGCCGAGCUUCAUCCCUCCGGAUGAUAUGGAGACGAAGGUAAUUUGUUUGCAGCUCCCGUUAGCUACAUUUAGCAAGCAAACACGCUCCUUCAAUCCUUGUGACAUAAAAAAAUAGUUUCGUCCCACUAGUUCACAUUAUAAUGUAAGAUCUGU
Molecule: long non-coding RNA, 527 nt
Organism: Phycodurus eques (leafy seadragon)
Lineage: Eukaryota; Metazoa; Chordata; Actinopteri; Syngnathiformes; Syngnathidae
Exons: 3
Source: RefSeq, a predicted model, not a curated record